GUGUUGAGGAAGAUAAUGACGGUACUCAACAAGGAAGUGACGGCUAACUACGUGCCAGCAGCCGCGGUAAAACGUAGGUCACAAGCGUUGUCCGGAAUUACUGGGUGUAAAGGGAGCGCAGGCGGGAGAUCAAGUUGGAAGUGAAAUCCAUGGGCUCAACCCAUGAACUGCUUUCAAAACUGGUCGUCUUGAGUAGUGCAGAGGUAGGCGGAAUUCCCGGUGUAGCGGUGGAAUGCGUAGAUAUCGGGAGGAACACCAGUGGCGAAGGCGGCCUACUGGGCACCAACUGACGCUGAGGCUCGAAAGUGUGGGUAGCAAACAGGAUUAGAUACCCUGGUAGUCCACACCGUAAACGAUGAUUACUAGGUGUUGGRAGAUUGACCCUUUCAGUGCCGCAGUUAACACAAUAAGUAAUCCACCUGGGGAGUACGACCGCAAGGUUGAAACUCAAAGGAAUUGACGGGGGCCCGCACAAGCAGUGGAGUAUGUGGUUUAAUUCGACGCAACGCGAAGAACCUUACCAAGUCUUGACAUCCCUUGACGAUGCUGGAAACAGUAUUUCUCUUCGGAGCAAGGAGACAGGUGGUGCAUGGUUGUCGUCAGCUCGUGUCGUGAGAUGUUGGGUUAAGUCCCGCAACGAGCGCAACCCUUAUGGUCAGUUACUACGCAAGAGGACUCUGGCCAGACUGCGGUUGAACAA
RNAcentral lists this ribosomal RNA (700 nucleotides) under Faecalibacterium prausnitzii. RNAcentral's name for it is "bacterial SSU rRNA". It matches the Rfam family "Bacterial small subunit ribosomal RNA", at positions 436 to 1162 of the family's 1533-position model. Lineage: Bacteria; Bacillati; Bacillota; Clostridia; Eubacteriales; Oscillospiraceae. The record is from RNAcentral.